AGAGUUUGAUCCUGGCUCAGAACGAACGUUGGCGGCGUGGAUUAGGCAUGCAAGUCGAGCGGGAUCCUGUUUUUUCAAUUCUUCGGAAGAGAGGUUUCAGGUGAGAGCGGCGAACGGGUUAGUAAUAUAUGGGUAAUUUGCCUCUUUGUUCGGGAUAGCCAUCGGAAACGAUGAUUAAUACCGGAUGUGUUCGCCCCGCACCUGCGGGGCUAUAUAAAGGCGGGGAUCUUCGGACCUGUCGCAAAGAGAUAAGCCCAUAUCCUAUCAGCUAGUUGGUGGGGUAACGGCUCACCAAGGCUUACGGGUAGUUGGUCUGAGAGGAUGAUCAGCAACACUGGAACUGAGACACGGUCCAGACUCCUACGGGAGGCUGCAGUCGAGAAUCAUUGUCAAUGCGCGAAAGCGUGAACAUGCGACGCCGCGUGGAGGAAGACGGCCUUCGGGUUGUAAACUCCUGUCAGCAGGGAGGAAGGGCAGCAUCACUAAUAUUGGUGUUGCUUGACAGUACCUGCAGAGGAAGUCACGGCUAACUCUGUGCCAGCAGCCGCGGUAAUACAGAGGUGGCGAACGUUGUUCGGAUUUACUGGGCGUAAAGGGUCCGCAGGCGGAUCGGUGUGUCGGAUGUGAAAGCUCACAGCUCAACUGUGGAAUUGCAUUCGAAACUGCCGGCCUAGAGUACUGGAGGGGAGAAGGGAACACUUGGUGUAGCGGUGAAAUGCGUAGAUAUCAAGUGGAACACCGGAGGCGAAGGCGCUUCUCUGGACAGAUACUGACGCUCAUGGACGAAAGCUAGGGUAGCGAAAGGGAUUAGAUACCCCUGUAGUCCUAGCCGUAAACGGUGUGCACUAGACGUGGGUGGAUUUACCCCCAUCCGUGUCUGAGCUAACGCAUUAAGUGCACCGCCUGGGGAGUACGGUCGCAAGAUUAAAACUCAAAGGAAUUGACGGGGACCCGCACAAGCGGUGGAGCAUGUGGCUUAAUUCGAUGCAACGCGAAGAACCUUACCUGGACUUGACAUAUAGCUGCAUACGACCCGAAAGGGACGUAGCCUUCGAGGGUGCUAUACAGGUGCUGCAUGGCUGUCGUCAGCUCGUGCCGUGAGGUGUUGGGUUAAGUCCCGCAACGAGCGCAACCCCUGUGUUUAGUUGCCAGCACGUAAUGGUGGGAACUCUAAACAGACUGCUUGUGAAAACAAGAGGAAGGUGGGGAUGACGUCAAG
RNAcentral lists this ribosomal RNA (1219 nucleotides) under metagenome. RNAcentral's name for it is "bacterial SSU rRNA". It matches the Rfam family "Bacterial small subunit ribosomal RNA", at positions 8 to 1189 of the family's 1533-position model. The record is from RNAcentral.